CGCUCGGGUGGUCGGUGCGGCUGGUCGGUCAGCGUGACUGCGGGCCGCGUCGCUGCGGCAGUGUGACGACCGACGCGUCGCCGGGCGCC
Molecule: transfer RNA, 89 nt
Filed under: Streptomyces olivaceus
Lineage: Bacteria; Bacillati; Actinomycetota; Actinomycetes; Kitasatosporales; Streptomycetaceae
Description: tRNA-Leu
Source: RNAcentral